CAGCACCUCAAGUGGUCAGGAUGAUUAUUGGGCCUAAAGCAUCCGUAGCCGGCGCUGUAAGUUUUCGGUUAAAUCUGUACGCUCAACGUACAGGCUGCCGGGAAUACUGCAGCGCUAGGGAGUGGGAGAGGUAGACGGUACUCGGUAGGAAGGGGUAAAAUCCUUUGAUCUAUUGAUGACCACCUGUGGCGAAGGCGGUCUACCAGAACGCGUCCGACGGUGAGGGAUGAAAGCUGGGGGAGCAAACCGGAUUAGAUACCCGUGUAGUCC
RNAcentral lists this ribosomal RNA (270 nucleotides) under uncultured archaeon. RNAcentral describes it as "partial 16S ribosomal RNA". It matches the Rfam family "Archaeal small subunit ribosomal RNA", at positions 477 to 747 of the family's 1478-position model. The record is from RNAcentral.